Molecule: ribosomal RNA, 752 nt
Filed under: uncultured Glomus
Lineage: Eukaryota; Fungi; Glomeromycota; Glomeromycetes; Glomerales; Glomeraceae
Description: SSU rRNA
Rfam family: Eukaryotic small subunit ribosomal RNA
Source: RNAcentral
GGCCUACCAUGGUGGUAACGGGUAACGGGGUGUUAGGGCACGACACCGGAGAGGGAGCCUGAGAAACGGCUACCACAUCCAAGGAUGGCAGCAGGCGCGCAAAUUACCCAAUCCCGACACGGGGAGGUAGUGACAAUAAAUAACAAUACGGGGUUCUUUAGGAUCUCGUAAUUGGAAUGAGUACAAUUUAAAUCUCUUAACGAGGAACAAUUGGAGGGCAAGUCUGGUGCCAGCAGCCGCGGUAAUUCCAGCUCCAAUAGCGUAUAUUAAAGUUGUUGCAGUUAAAAAGCUCGUAGUUGAAUUUCGGGGUUAGUAAGUUGGUCAUGCCUUUGGUAUGCACUGGCUUUACUGAUUCCUCCUUCUUGACGAACCAUGAUGUCAUUAAUUUGGUGUUGCGGGAAAUCAGGACUGUUACUUUGAAAAAAUUAGAGUGUUUAAAGCAGGCUAACGCUUGAAUACAUUAGCAUGGAAUAAUGAAAUAGGACGUUAAUCCUAUUUUGUUGGUUUCUAGGAUCGACGUAAUGAUUAAUAGGGAUAGUUGGGGGCAUUAGUAUUCAAUUGUCAGAGGUGAAAUUCUUGGAUUUAUUGAAGACUAACUACUGCGAAAGCAUUUGCCAAGGAUGUUUUCAUUAAUCAAGAACGAAAGUUAGAGGAUCGAAGACGAUCAGAUACCGUCGUAGUCUUAACCAUAAACUAUGNCGACUAGGGAUCGGAUGAUGUUAAUUUUAUAAUGACUCAUUCGGCGCCUUACG